UACAGAGGGUGCAAGCGUUGUUCGGAACUAUUGGGCGUAAAGGGCUCGUAGGCGGCCAACUAAGUCAGACGUGAAAUCCCCAGGCUCAACCUGGGAACUGCGUCUGAUACUGGAUGGCUUGAAUCCGGGAGAGGGAUGCAGAAUUCCAGGUGUAGCGGUGAAAUGCGUAGAUAUCUGGAGGAACACCUGCGGUGUAGACGGCUUACUGGACCAUAACUGACGCUGAGGCACGAAAGCGUGGGUAGCAAACAGG
RNAcentral lists this ribosomal RNA (253 nucleotides) under uncultured bacterium. RNAcentral's name for it is "partial 16S ribosomal RNA". It matches the Rfam family "Bacterial small subunit ribosomal RNA", at positions 524 to 776 of the family's 1533-position model. The record is from RNAcentral.